RNAcentral lists this ribosomal RNA (458 nucleotides) under uncultured bacterium. RNAcentral's name for it is "partial 16S ribosomal RNA". It matches the Rfam family "Bacterial small subunit ribosomal RNA", at positions 340 to 795 of the family's 1533-position model. The record is from RNAcentral.
CCCGGGUGGCAGCAGUGAGGAAUAUUGGUCAAUGGGCGCAAGCCUGAACCAGCCAAGUCGCGUGAGGGAUGACGGUCCUAUGGAUUGUAAACCUCUUUUGUCGGGGAGCAAGGCCCGCCACGUGUGGCGGGAAGGAGAGUACCCGAAGAAAAAGCAUCGGCUAACUCCGUGCCAGCAGCCGCGGUAAUACGGAGGAUGCGAGCGUUAUCCGGAUUUAUUGGGUUUAAAGGGUGCGUAGGCGGAAGGUUAAGUCAGCGGUCAAAUGUCGGUGCUCAACACCGGCCUGCCGUUGAAACUGGUCGUCUUGAGUGAGCGAGAAGUAUGCGGAAUGCGUGGUGUAGCGGUGAAAUGCAUAGAUAUCACGCAGAACUCCGAUUGCGAAGGCAGCAUACCGGCGCUCAACUGACGCUGAGGCACGAAAGCGUGGGGAUCGAACAGGAUUAGAUACCCCAGUAGUC